UACGUAGGGGGCAAGCGUUGUCCGGAAUCAUUGGGCGUAAAGCGCGUGUAGGCGGCCAGGUAAGUCCGUUCUGAAAGCCCGGGGCUCAACCCCGGGAGGCGGAUGGAUACUGCUUGGCUCGAGUCCGGAAGAGGUAAGUGGAAUUCCCGGUGUAGCGGUGAAAUGCGCAGAUAUCGGGAGGAACACCAAUGGCGAAGGCAGCUCACUGGGACGGUACUGACGCUGAGGCGCGAAAGCGUGGGGAGCAAACAGG
This 253-nucleotide ribosomal RNA is filed under the name uncultured bacterium. RNAcentral's name for it is "partial 16S ribosomal RNA". It matches the Rfam family "Bacterial small subunit ribosomal RNA", at positions 524 to 776 of the family's 1533-position model. The record is from RNAcentral.